AGGGUGUAAACGCUGCGGGCUUGGUGUUGGGGGUCCUUUGAGGGCGCCCAGUGCCGGAGAGAAGUUGUUAAGCCUGCUGCUUGGGGAGUACGUCCGCAAGGAUGAAACUUAAAGGAAUUGGCGGGGGAGCACCGCAACGGGAGGAGCGUGCGGUUCAAUUGGAUUCAACGCCGGACAACUCACCAGGAGCGACGGUUACAUGAAGGCCAGGCUGAUGACCUUGCCUGAUUUUCCGAGAGGUGGUGCAUGGCGUAG
RNAcentral lists this ribosomal RNA (255 nucleotides) under uncultured archaeon. Its description in RNAcentral is "partial 16S ribosomal RNA". It matches the Rfam family "Archaeal small subunit ribosomal RNA", at positions 748 to 1002 of the family's 1478-position model. The record is from RNAcentral.